Molecule: RNase P RNA, 387 nt
Filed under: Mucilaginibacter cryoferens
Lineage: Bacteria; Pseudomonadati; Bacteroidota; Sphingobacteriia; Sphingobacteriales; Sphingobacteriaceae
Description: Mucilaginibacter sp. FT3.2 Bacterial RNase P class A
Rfam family: Bacterial RNase P class A
About the family: Ribonuclease P (RNase P) is a ubiquitous endoribonuclease, found in archaea, bacteria and eukarya as well as chloroplasts and mitochondria. Its best characterised activity is the generation of mature 5'-ends of tRNAs by cleaving the 5'-leader elements of precursor-tRNAs.
Source: Rfam by way of RNAcentral
CCUGCAAAACGUUCUAUCGCUGCUAACUUGUUUAGCGGAGGAAAGUCCGGGCAACACAGAGCAUCCUGCUUCCUAACGGGAAGGCACCGGCAGCCGGUGACAGCAAAGUGCCACAGAGAAAAUACCGCCGCAAUUUAUUGCGGUAAGGGUGAAAACGUGAGGUAAGAGCUCACGACAUUGCCGGGCGACCGGCGAUGAUGGUAAACCUCAGGAGUUGAAAAACCAAAUAGGUCUUGAAAGUGGGGCUGCUCGCUCCCGCUCACCAACUUGUUGGUGACGUUAAGAUGGGUAGGUUGUUUAAACCUGUCAGCAAUGGCAGGGCCAGAUUAAUGAUAGAAGUUGCCUUUACCGGCAAUACAGAACCCGGCUUACAGAUUUGCUGCUGAA